This 253-nucleotide ribosomal RNA is filed under the name uncultured bacterium. RNAcentral's name for it is "partial 16S ribosomal RNA". It matches the Rfam family "Bacterial small subunit ribosomal RNA", at positions 524 to 776 of the family's 1533-position model. The record is from RNAcentral.
UACGAGUGCCCCGAGCGUUAUCCGGAAUUAUUGGGCGUAAAGGGUCCGCAGGCGGAACUGUUAGUCUUAUGUGAAAUCUCCCGGCUUAACUGGGAACACGCAUAGGAAACGGCAGAUCUAGAGGAUAUGAGAGGUGUGUGGAACUCAUGGUGUAGGGGUGAAAUCCGUUGAUAUCAUGGGGAACACCAAAUGCGAAGGCAACACACUGGCAUACUCCUGACGCUCAGGGACGAAAGCACGGGUAGCGAAUGGG